RNAcentral lists this ribosomal RNA (788 nucleotides) under Mycosarcoma mackinlayi. Its description in RNAcentral is "eukaryotic LSU rRNA". The stretch from base 281 to 435 matches the Rfam family "5.8S ribosomal RNA". The record is from RNAcentral. Lineage: Eukaryota; Fungi; Basidiomycota; Ustilaginomycetes; Ustilaginales.
GGUGAACCUGCAGAUGGAUCAUUUCGAUGAAAACCUUUUUUUUCUGAGGUGUGGCUCGCACCUGUCCAACUAAACUUGAGCUACCUUUUUCAACACGGUUGCAUCGGUCGGCCUGUCAAACAGCGCGAGGGGGAGAUUUUUUCUUUUUCCCGCUUGCGGUUGGGCGACGAGCCGGCACUCUACCAUAAACACUUUUUGAUAAUCUAGGAUUUGAAGGAAGAAAGUUCAUUUUUUACGAUGACAUCCGACUGGUAAUGCGGUCGACUAAAAUCUAAAAAACAACUUUUGGCAACGGAUCUCUUGGUUCUCCCAUCGAUGAAGAACGCAGCGAAUUGCGAUAAGUAAUGUGAAUUGCAGAAGUGAAUCAUCGAAUCUUUGAACGCACCUUGCGCUCCCGGCAGAUCUAAUCUGGGGAGCAUGCCUGUUUGAGGGCCGCGAAUUGUUUCGAACGCACGCUUUUUUCAUUAGAAGCGGGCGGAUCGGUAGUGAGGGUAUCUGCCAUUUACCGUGGCUCCCUCGAAAUGCAUUAGCGCAUCCAUUUGAUAGGCAAAGACGGACGAAAGCUCGCUUUUACGGCCCCUCUCUUUCCCUGCCGGGUUUUGAUAAUAUCAGGACUUCGGAGGCGUGAAGAGAGGCACGGUCUCGAGCUGGACGCAACGACUUUGCUGGUUGGCGUGCUUCUGAACCCCGCCCAGGCCUCGUUCGCGAGGGAAGGGAUUUAUUUCAAUUCAUCGGCCUCAGAUUGGUAGGACUACCCGCUGAACUUAAGCAUAUCAAUAAGCGGAGGA